RNAcentral lists this ribosomal RNA (377 nucleotides) under uncultured Planctomycetota bacterium. RNAcentral describes it as "bacterial SSU rRNA". It matches the Rfam family "Bacterial small subunit ribosomal RNA", at positions 521 to 896 of the family's 1533-position model. The record is from RNAcentral. Lineage: Bacteria; Pseudomonadati; Planctomycetota.
UAAUACGAAGGGCCCGAGCGUUAUUCGGAAUCACUGGGCUUAAAGCGUACGUAGGCUGGUAUAUAGGCAUUUUGUGAAAUCCCUCGGCUCAACCGAGGAACUGCAGAGUGAACCAUAUACCUUGAGACAGACAGAGGUCGUUGGAACGAUUGGUGGAGUGGUGAAUGCGUUGAUAUCAAUCGGAACGCCAAUGGAGAAGUCAAGCGACUGGGUCUGUUCUGACGCUGAGGUACGAAAGCGUGGGUAGCGAACGGGAUUAGAUACCCCGGUAGUCCACGCCGUAAACGAUGUGCACUAGGUCGAGGGCGUUCUGACGCGACUCUCGGCCGAAGCGAAAGUGUUAAGUGCACCGCCUGGGGAGUACGGUCGCAAGGCUA